AAAUAGGAUGCAGCUCUUUGCACUGAGAGCAUGUGGUCUUUGGGAAAUCAAGUUCUCCAUUAGAAUACUAGUACUGGAAUAAUUCAGCUCCCUGGAAAGUGAAAAUGGGAGGAAGCAUCAACCCUGUGAGGCAUUUCCAUGGGGAAUUGAGGGCUGCAUUAAAGAUAUUUGGAGACAAAACAUCCUUGCUGUGAUCAUCCGUGCACUGUGGGUCGUCUGGAUGUGGUCCUCAGUGAUUUGCCAUCCCACAGUCAGAAAAUUCACUUCCUAACACUGUGAUAAAGGGGGAAAAGAAAACCCAACUCAGGAUUUGGUGUCUGCAGCAAAGAGCCCUCCAGAUUCAAGUAUUUCCUUCUACUGGAGCUAUUUGCUUGCUGCUGAAUAUAAUUUUGUUAACUGCCACAAACCAGCAAGAAAACUGUUUUCUUUCUACGUGAUAAAGAGCAACCUAUAAAAAGACUGAAAUUGAAGUGAAACAUUUUGCUUGAGUGAAGAGGAGGAAGUUUUCAUUGGCCUGAUGGAAAACUUGCAUUUUUAUUUGUGGCCUUUCCAGCUUCCAUUGGCCCAUCACUGCCCAGUGAGGACUCUGGUUUCCAUUUGUCCAGCUGGGCAUUAGCAGAAGCAAAGAAGAUAAGAAGCAAAGAAGAGAUUUAGCUGGAGGGAAGCUAUUACAUAUAAAGAGAUGAAGGAAAAAAAAAAAGAGAGAGAGAAAGGAAAAAGAAAAUCUAAUAAUGCUCUAGCAAACUUCCUGGGGGAAUGGAAAGAAGGGAAAUAGACUUUCAAAGAACAGAUGUGACUUGCAAGGCAAGCACUUGCACAGAUCUGCUUCCAUUUAGCAAGCAGUUGGUGUUGUUUCUGAUAUUCCUAUCUUCCAGCUGUCUGUAACCACGCCACCACCAGGCCAGGGGCCAGCAGGAUGGAGUGUGCCCAGCGUUCUUCAUUGCCCUCAACGUAAAAUCUGAGUGCUCUGCAUUAGCAGCAGUAGUUUGGACCUAUCCCUUCAACUCUGCCCACCUCAGGACGGCCAUUGUGUUCCUAUGAUGCAGCCCUGGGAGGUAUAACACUGAAUGAUAGAAGUCAAGUUGAAAGAGAUCUUAAACCUGUGUUGCCACCCAGGAUAUCAGGUAGCCAUCGGUUACCCUUCCUUUGUCCACCAAUGCUAUCAUCUCCCAAAGUGGCCCCGGGUGAAGAGCUGGAAGGAGCUGAAGCUGGCCUCUUCCAUUGCUCUCACGAUGAGCCCACAACAUCCCAGGCUCUGACCAUGGGACUUCUGCACAGUGAUCCUAUAUUUGCCCAGCAGUUGCUGAGCUCUGACCUCGGCUGUGAUGUACCAUGUAGUGCCAGGACCCCAGGAUGCUACCAAGCAUUGGAUUCAUAGCUUCAAAGCCACACAGAUGGUGAGAGAUAACGUACAAGCAAUAAUGGAUAGCUUUGUGUCUCCAAUCAGUAUUUAUUUCCUUUUCUUCUUCCCUAAAUUGUGAGUUCCUGAAAGUGUUGUCAUGACUACUGAAGAGUGAACUUGACUCGCUUCGGCAGCCUUUGUUCCCUCCAAGUGAGCUGAUCUAAAAUUUGUCAAAACUCUCUUGUCACUGGCUGCAAAAAUAUUGUAUCUAUUUCUUCAGAGGAGCUUCUUUUGCAAGUCUCUUUUAGCUGCACAUAAAGGGCACGGCGAGAGUCCAAGCCUGCCAUAAUGCAGUGAUUUUAAUGCCCCUGGGUGCUCUCAGUUAAUAAGUCUUGGAUUGUUCCCUCGUUUCCAGCAAUCUUUCUGUCACACAUCAAAAGGUCAGUCUUCCGUGAGGUAUUCUGUAAUCUCUCUGCUCAGAUGUGUUACAAUAUAUUCUGAUCAAUGGCUAAAAGUCGUGUAUUUUUCUUUUAAUGGAACAUCCACUGGAGAAUAAAUUCUAAGGGGGGCU
Long non-coding RNA from Lagopus leucura (white-tailed ptarmigan), 1913 nucleotides. RefSeq lists it as uncharacterized. NCBI's taxonomy places the organism in Eukaryota, Metazoa, Chordata, Aves, Galliformes, Phasianidae. The record is from RefSeq and is a predicted model, not a curated record. The transcript has 4 exons.